UGGCUCUUGAUGAAUAUUUGCCAACGGUAAAAUAUAAAUCAUCAUCGCGCGCAAAUGAAAUAUGGCGGGAGAAGAAAACGUUUGAGAAGUUAUUCGCGCUCACAAAAAUAUUAUUUAAUAAGGGUACGGCAUAUAUAUUGGCAUUCGCGGAUGGAGGUCAACGUAUUUUUGAGAGAAGACAAUUAAUCUUCGUAAUCUUUGGAAGGAUCGAGCUGUAAAUCUCUUUACAUGAUGAUGCGUCUUUUGGAACGACUCCGUUGACAAUAACAACCUCGAGGAAAAAUGGGAGAAAACAUCGAACCAGAUCGCAUGUAAAAACGGAGGUAUCCUCCCCCUGUGCGGAAGUAGACGAGCGCUUAACGCCGAUGCGAUACGCGCGUCGCGACGUCCGGCCACCGACUGUCGGCUGUACGUCGACGGGACGUCGACGCGAUACCCGAAGACGUCCGAGGACGACCGACGCAACGCCUCCGACGUAUCGGCAUAUAUGCGCCACUGUUGGAAAUUCACUGCAAUUUCUCCUAUAGGAUAUCUAUAGACGAAUUGCAUGUGUUAAGCUGCAAUUUUGCUGCUGUCAAUCCUCAUCUUGUCACUUUGAC
This is a long non-coding RNA of Cataglyphis hispanica, 599 nucleotides long. RefSeq lists it as uncharacterized. Lineage: Eukaryota; Metazoa; Arthropoda; Insecta; Hymenoptera; Formicidae. The transcript is spliced from 3 exons. The record is from RefSeq and is a predicted model, not a curated record.